GAAAAUGAGAUUUGUGUGAAGGUUACUUUCUUCAUGUUACAGAGAUACUUUUACAAAGAUGCUUUCUAUAUCUAGAUAGUAUAGCAGAUAAAUAGAUAACGUGUACAGUAAAUAGACUCUUCGUGUACUGUAAAUAGACUUAACGUGUAAAUAUCAGCUAACAUGUAUAGUAAGACCAGCAGGAAUUAAGCGCGGGGAUCAGUGCUUGGUUGUAACCCUUUUCUAUAUAAAUGAAUGAAAACAAUGGAAAGAGGUAUUGAAACCAAUCUUGACAUGGUAUCAGAGCCACUCCUCUGAUUUGGAAAUAAUCACUUCGUGUAAUUUUUUCUUGGGAAAUUUUUUUUCCAGCUUCCGUAAGAUUUUUCUUGCUCUUCGUGGGAGUCGUUGAUUUCUGUAGCAUCAAACCUUGUGGGUUUGAAUUUUCUGGUGAACAUCGAAUUUCUUUUUGGAGUGGACAUAGGUUCUCGGUUGUGGGUUGUCAUUUUUGGGUCUGUCGGCAACCUCAGUGCUCGUCGGCAUCGUUUGAGGGUGAUUCUGUGGCCGUCGGCUUCUUCUGU
This is a long non-coding RNA of Juglans microcarpa x Juglans regia, 557 nucleotides long. RefSeq lists it as uncharacterized. Lineage: Eukaryota; Viridiplantae; Streptophyta; Magnoliopsida; Fagales; Juglandaceae. The transcript has 3 exons. The record is from RefSeq and is a predicted model, not a curated record.